Molecule: unclassified non-coding RNA, 244 nt
Filed under: Setophoma chromolaenae
Lineage: Eukaryota; Fungi; Ascomycota; Dothideomycetes; Pleosporales; Phaeosphaeriaceae
Description: partial contains 5.8S ribosomal RNA, internal transcribed spacer 2, and large subunit ribosomal RNA
Source: RNAcentral
CGCACAUUGCGCCCCUCGGUAUUCCGUGGGGCAUGCCUGUUCGAGCGUCAUUUGUACCUUCAAGCUCUGCUUGGUGAUGGGUGUUUGUCUUCUCUAUGAGUAGACUCGCCUCAAAAUUAUUGGCAGCCGGCAUAUUAGCCUUUGGAGCGCAGCACAUUUUGCGAUCUAAGCUUGUAUACUGGUGUCCAAAAGACCUUUUAUCACUUUUGACCUCGGAUCAGGUAGGGAUACCCGCUGAACUUAA